RNAcentral lists this long non-coding RNA (3054 nucleotides) under Prunus dulcis (almond). RNAcentral describes it as "sRNA ncRNA". The record is from RNAcentral. Lineage: Eukaryota; Viridiplantae; Streptophyta; Magnoliopsida; Rosales; Rosaceae.
CGGGUUAGAAGUUUAAAAUGGGUUGGAAGGUGGGUCUUCUAAGUUUGAGAUAUUGGAUCCGACCCGACCCAACAACACAAUCCGUGGUGUGGCUGAAAAUAAAGAGGCACUCGCACACGGUCCCCUCCUCUCGCGUGGCUCUUCUUGCUCUCCAUUGCGUUUGCGCAGGUAAUUCCCAAGCUUCAACUCCAAGCCUACAUUUUCUCCCUUCUCAGUUUUUUUUUUCCUAAGUGAAUCAAUACUCUCUUCCAUUUUCAUCAUUUAACAUAAGAAAACAAUCAAAUUUUAACUUCUAAUUUCGUGUUUUAGUGAUUGAGUGGUUGCAAUCUUGUAUUUCAUUGGUAGUAAAAUCCAUAUGAGCCUGCUAACUGUUUGAUGAAAUGCCUCUGGGAGAAUCUCUGUCUUUUCUCUUUUUCUUGUGCCGUCUGUAUUAUAGGAGGUUUUUUUUUUACUACAUUGUUACGACCUCCAUUUGAAGCUCAACUAUAAAGGCCCAACUAGGCAUGUUUGAGCUGCUUCUAUCCACUGCGUUGUAAUUUGUAGCAUAUGGCUAUUGGAAACUUGUUGCAUGAAUUUUGCUACUGUAUGCGUACAUGUGUUGCUUUUUGGAAUAAGUUUCUGAGCGAGCAAGCCUCUCUCAGUUUGUGCCCUUCUCCUUCAGAGGGAGCGUCUUUCACAGCGAGUUCAGAGUUCAAAGCGUGCUCUUUGUAUUUAAUGUUACAGGGGCUCAAUUGUUUGAACAAUUGGGGUCAUCAAUUUUGGGAUCACAAGUGAAAACUUUUUGCAUCUGAUCACGAGUGAACACUACUAGCUGCCUGGUUUCCUCAUCUUUGUGGUUAGCUGGUUGGUAGGCCCCUUUAACCUCUACAUGGGGACAGUGGCUUUUAGUAAUAUUUCCUCACCUUUGAAAAACGCAUAUUGGAUCAUCUUGUUGUGUAUAUUAUAUUUGGCUUUUAUAGCGUACCUUUUAGUCUAUGAUUUGGAAAGUUUUCAAAAGGCAAGUGCUUGGUAUUUAAGUUAUAAUUCUCUAAAAACUACUAAGCUAAAAUAAAACCAAACCAUAUAUGUGAUCCGUUUCAUUUUGUUAAGCAUGAAACUGGAGGUCUUCCUCCUUAUCCCUUGUAUUAGAUUGUUAGACAUGGAUCUGAUAUGGGUAAUAGCCUGACUCCUUCUGUAAAUGUGAAAAAACAAUCUCAGGAGGAGACAGGUUUGCACUCGGUGAAAUCAUCUCAGUGUACAUCUGAUUACUGGCCCAUUGAUGUCUUUGUCAAUCUCUAUUAAGCCUCAUGUAAGUAAAUUUUAAUCCUGUUAAGAGAUUAGAGUAAAAUAUACAAUUCUGCUCAUGUAUCCCCUUCACAUAUACUUUCAUGUGACUGAUCUUGUAUAUGAGACUUGUAUUUCAUUAUUUAGUUGCUUUGGUUUCUCUGUUUUUGGUUAUUAGUGUAAGAUCAGUUAAGUGGUUUCUCUGUUUUUGGUUGUUAGUCUAAUACUUAUUAAUAUUUGUUAGUAGUCAGUCAAGUGGUUAUGAUAAGUACACAUACUAAUAUUGAUGUUCUGUUUUGCAGAUAAAUAAUAGGAUUGUCAGAGAUUUUACUUCUCUCUCGUGGCUCUUUUCUUGCUCCAUUGCGCAGGUAUUUUCCAAGCUUCAACUCCAAGCCUACAUUUUCACCCUUCUCAGUUUCUUUUUUUAAAUUGAUAAUCAAAUUUUUGCUUUUUAUUUCGUGUUUUAGUGAUUGAGUGGUUGUCUUUGAUUGUAUUUCGCGUUUUAAAUUGAUAAUCAAAUUUUUACUUUUAAUUUUUACUUUAGCCUACCAACUGUUUGAUGAAAUGCCUCUGUGAGAACCUCAUUGUCUUUUCUCCUUUUCUUGUGCCUAUUGCUCACUCAAAUGGGUCUGUAUUAUAAAUUAUUUUUUUUUUUCCAUUGUUACGACCUCCAUUUGAAACUCGGAAUUAUAAAGUCUAUCCACUGCAUUGUAAUUUGUAGCAUAUGACUAUGGGGCAACUUGUUGCAUGAAUUUUUUUACUUUCUCAUCAUUGUGUGCAUGUGUGUGUUGUUUUCUGGAAAAAGUUUCUGAACUGUUAUGGUCUUGAUUACAGAGCUGAAAAAGAGUCUUGACAGUAAAGAAAAUGCCACAUAGAACUCGACCUAUGACUGCACUCUUGGUGUUUACUGGGCUGAAUAUUGUACUAGUUUCAACCAUUACCCCAGUCUAUGAUUUUGUCUGCUUCCUUCCAUACUGGGAAAGAAGGGUAUGUUUUCUGUCACUAUUUGUUAAGCAAAUUAUAUUCCAGAGGAAAAAAAAAAAUGGUAUUAAACUUCUUAGAGAACUUUCGUUAGGUUGGCCAUACACUUGCAGGAUGCAUCUUAAAACUAAGCUUGACCAACUCUGUACUUGUAUAACUAUGCUUGCUUCCACAUGAUGUUAUUAUAUUCACUCACUUACCAACUUAAAUCUUGAUCUUCUCGGUUUUGUAUUGGUGAGGUCAAAGUUGUCAAACAUAAACAUCAUUUUUGUUGUGUUGAUUGUAUGUUGGUCUUAUGGAUAAUUUUGUUGUUUAAAACUUUCUGGUAUGAUCACUAAGUUGAAAGCUUGGAAAUGUAAAAUUAGACAUAUUGUUACUGAAUUUGAUUUCUUCUGUUAUUCAGUUUCUAAAAUAAAAAACUGUAAUCCAUCCAAUCCAAUGCGAUCAGUUCUGGAUUGGAUUGGAUUGAGUCAGUUGGUUGGUCUUUUAGAUUCGUUUUGUGCAUCCCCACAUCUGGUAUUUAUGUUUCUUUGCAGAGAGAACGACGUCGUCAGGAACGUGAAGCAAUUUUAUCAAAUGGUCCUGAAUCAAAAUAGAAUAUUAGUGAGGUCAAACCUCUUGAGUUACAGGUUUUAAGCUUUUUCUAAUAUUUAAUGUAGUUCUGCUCUAUGAUUUAUUGUAAGAUUUUAGUAAAUUAAGGAUAAGAAGGUAUACGAAGCUUUUGCAUGCCUGCUUAUGGAUGUUCUCUCCGUAUAUUGUAUAAUCCAUUUAUAAAAUAUGUUUAAAAUAAAACCUUAAAGAUUUAGAGGA